CUCCACCCCUCAUAGCCUGGUUCCUCUCUAGGUUUAUAAUCUCCACCCCUCAUAGCCUGGUUCCUCUCUAGGUUUCUUCCUAGGUUUUGGCCUUUCUAGGGAGUUUUUCCUAGCCACCGUGCUUCUACACCUGCAUUGCUUGCUGUUUGGGGUUUUAGGCUGGGUUUCUGUACUGAGCUUUGUGACAUCAGCUGAUGUAAGAAGGGCAUUAUAAGUACAUUUGAUUGAUUUUUUGAUGUGUCAAAAACAUUUGUUUUCUCUUGUUGAAGAUCCAGAAAAUAUUCAUAUUUUCGGCAUAGGCAAGAUGCAGUAGAUGGUAUAGAGUACCGUAUAUACAUAUGAGAUGAGUAAUGUAGGGUAUGUAAAAAUUAUAUUAAGUGGCAUUGUUUAAAGUGGCUAGUGAUACAUUUAUUACAUCAAUUUUUCAUUAUUAAAGUGACUAGAAAUGAUUCAGUAUGUUGGCAGCAGUCACUCAAUGUUAGUGGUGGCUGUUUAUCAGUCUGAUGGCCUUGAGAUAGAAGCUGUUUUUCAGUCUCUCGGUCCCUGCUUUGAUGCACCUGUACUGACCUCACCUUCUGUAUGAUAGCGGGGUGAACAGGCAGUGGCUCGGGUGGUUGUUGUCCUUGAUGAUCUUUAUGGCCUUCCUGUAACAUCGGGUGGUGUAGGUGUCCUGGAGGGCAGGUAGUUUGCCCCCAGUGAUGCGUUGUGCAGACCUCACUACCCUCUGGAGAGCCUUACGGUUGUGGGCUGAGCAGUUGCUAUACCAGGCAGUGAUACAGCCCGCCAGGAUGCUCUCGUUUGUGCAUCUGUAAAAGUCGGUGAGUGUUUUUGGUGACAAGCCAAAUUUCUUCAGCCUCCUGAGGUUGAAGAGGCGCUGCUACGUCUUCUUCACGACGCUGUCUUUGUGGGUGGACCAUUUCAGUUUGUCCAUGAUGUGUAUGCCGAGGAAAUGAAAACUUUCCACCUUCUCCACUACUGUCCCGUCGAUGUGGAUAGGGGGGUGCUCCCUCUGCUGUUUCCUGAAGUCCACGAUCAUCUCCUUUAUUUUGUUGACGUUGAAUAUGAGGUUAUUUUCCUGACACCACACUCCGAGGCGCCUCACCUCCUCCCUGUAGGCCAUCUGGUUAUUGUUGGUAAUCAAGCCUACCACUGUUGUGUCGUCUUCAAACUUGAUGAUUGAGUUAGAGGCGUGCAUGGCCACGUAGUCAUGGGUGAACAGGGAGUACAGGAGGGGGCUGAGAGCGCACCCUUGUGGGGGCGCAGUGUUGAGGAUCAGCAGGGUGGAGAUGUUGUUUCCUACCCUCACCACCUGGGGGAGGCCCGUCAGAAAGUCCAGGACCCAGUUGCACAGGGCAGGGUCGAGACCCAUGGUCUCGAGCUUAAUGACGAGUUUGGAGGGCACUAUGGUGUUAAAUGCUGAGGUGUAAUCGAUGAACAGCAUUCUUACAUAGGUAUUCCUCCUGUCCAGAUGGGUUAGGGCAGUGUGGUUGCGAUUGCGUUAUCUGUGGAACUAUUGGGGCGGUAAGCAAAUUGGAGGGUGUCAGCUAGGGUGGAGGUGAUAUGAUCCUUGAUCCUAGUAUCUCAAAGCACUUCAUGAUGACGGAAGUGAGUGCUACUGGGUGAUAGUCAUUUAGCUCAGUUACCUUAGCUUUCUUGGGAACAGGAAGAAUGGUGGCCAUCUUGAAGCAUGUGGGAACAGCAGACUGGGAUAGGAAUUUAUUUAAAAUGUCCAUAAACACAACAGCCAGCUGGUCUGCACAUGCUCUGAGGACGCAGUUGGGGAUGCCAGCCUUGCGAAGGUUAACACGUUUAAAUGUUUUACUCACGUUGGCUGCGGUGAAGGAGAGCCCGCGGGUUUUCAUAGCGGGCUGUGUCAGUGGCACUGUAUUGUCCUCAAAGCGAGCAAAGAAUUUGUUUAGUCCGUCUGGGAGCAAGACAUCCUGGUCCGCGACGGGGCUGGUUUUCUUUUUCUAGUCCGUGGUUGACUGUAGACCCUGCCACAUACGUCUCGUGUCUGAGCCAUUGAUUUGCGACUCUACUUUGUAUCUAUACUGAUGCUUAGCUUGUUCGAUUGCCUUGUGGGAGGAAUAGCUACACUGUUUGUAUUCGGUCAUGUUUCCGGUUACCUUGCCAUGAUUAAAAGCAGUGGUUCGCGCUUUCAGUUUUGCACGAAUGCUGCCAUCGGUUUCUGGUUAGGGAAGGAUUUAAUAGUCACCAUGGGUACCACAUCAUCGAGCCCGGGUCGCGAAUUCGAUAUACUGAUAAAAAUUGAGGGACCCUUGUUUUCAGAUUAGCCCUGUUAAAAUCACCAGCUCCAAUAAAUGCAGCCUCAGAAUAUGUGGUUUCCAGUUUACAUCGAGUCCAAUGAAGUUCUUUCAGGGCCGUCGAGGUGUCUGCUUGGGAGGGGGAUAUACACGACUGUGAUUAUAAUCGAAGAGAAUUCUCUUGGUAGAUAAUGCGGUCGGCAUUUGAUUGUAAGGAAUUCUAGGUCAGGUGAACAAAAGGACUUGAGUUCCUGUAUGUUGUUAUGAUCACACCACGACUCGUUAAUCAUAAGGAAUACAACCCCCGCCCUUCUUCUUACCAGAGAGAUGUUUGUUUCUGUCAUGCGUGAAGAAACCAGGUGGCUGCACCAACUCUGAUAACGUAUCCCGAGUGAGCCACGUUUCCAUGAAACAAAGAAUGUUACAAUCUCUGAUGUCUCUCUGGAAGGCAACCCUUGCUCGAAUUUGGUCUACCUUGUUGUCGAGUGACUGGACAUUGGCGAGAAGUAUAUUCGGGAGUGGUGGGCGGUGUGCCCGUCUACGGAGCCUGACCAGAAGACCGCUCCGUCCGCGGCACCGUUGUUUUGUGUCGCCUGAUCGGAUCCGAUCCAUUGUCCUGGGUGGUGGUCCAAACAGAGGAUCCGAUCCAUUGUCCUGGGUAGUGGUCCAAACAGAGUAUCCGAUCCAUUGUCCUGGGUGGUGGUCCAAACAGAGGAUCCGAUCCAUUGUCCUGGGUGGUGGUCCAAACAGAGGAUCCGAUCCAUUGUCAUGGGUGGUGGUCCAAACAGAGGAUCUGAUCCAUUGUCCUGGGUGGUGGUCCAUACAGAGGAUCCGAUCCAUUGUCCUGGGUGGUGGUCCAAACAGAGGAUCCGCUUUGGGAUAGUCAUAUUCCUGGUCGUAAUGUUGCUGUCUUGGGAAGAAGGUGAGGACCAAGGUGCAGCGUGGUUAGUGUUCAUGAUUUUUAAUAAUAAUCAAAACUGAACACUGAAUAACAAAACAACAAAGAAACAACCGGAACAGUUCUGUCUGGUGUAGACACACAAAGACUGGAAACAACCGGAACAGUUCUGUCUGGUGUCGACACACAAAGACUGGAAACAACCGGAACAGUUCUGUCUGGUGUCGACACACAAAGACUGGAAACAACCGGAACAGUUCUGUCUGGUGUUGACACACAACGACUGGAAACAACCGGAACAGUUCUGUCUGGUGUAGACACACAAAGACUGGAAACAACCGGAACAGUUCUGUCUGGA
This is a long non-coding RNA of Oncorhynchus tshawytscha (Chinook salmon), 3520 nucleotides long. NCBI's taxonomy places the organism in Eukaryota, Metazoa, Chordata, Actinopteri, Salmoniformes, Salmonidae. The record is from Ensembl.